GAUGAACGCUGGCGGCGUGCCUAAUACAUGCAAGUCGAGCGAACAGACGAGGAGCUUGCUCCUCUGACGUUAGCGGCGGACGGGUGAGUAACACGUGGAUAACCUACCUAUAAGACUGGGAUAACUUCGGGAAACCGGAGCUAAUACCGGAUAAUAUAUUGAACCGCAUGGUUCAAUAGUGAAAGACGGUUUUGCUGUCACUUAUAGAUGGAUCCGCGCCGCAUUAGCUAGUUGGUAAGGUAACGGCUUACCAAGGGAACGAUACGUAGCCGACCUGAGAGGGGAGGCGGCCACCCCGGAACGGAAACCGGGCCCGGACCCCAACGGGAGGGGAGGGAGGGGAAUGUUACGCAAGGGGAGAAACCCUAGCGGGAAACAGCCGGGGGGGGGGUAAGAGUUUUGGGAUACGAAAACUAUUUUAUUGGGAAAAAAGAAAAGAGUAAGAAACGUGGACCGUUUGGAAGGUACUUAAAGAAAAAGCAACGGCGAACUACGU
RNAcentral lists this ribosomal RNA (496 nucleotides) under uncultured bacterium. Its description in RNAcentral is "partial 16S ribosomal RNA". It matches the Rfam family "Bacterial small subunit ribosomal RNA", at positions 28 to 506 of the family's 1533-position model. The record is from RNAcentral.